AAAAGUUUACCAAACAAAGACAACAAUUUCCUCCAAGAAACCAGAAGAUUCCAUAAAUAAAGAAGAAGAAAAAAAAAAAGUUCACCACCAUUAUCAUUCACCGCCAACAAUACCUCAACACCCUUUUUCUUUCGCUUUCUCUUUCUUAUCUUGAGUAUCACAUUCAACCCCAACAUCAUUCUUGGAAAACAGAAAACACAAUGUUAGAAUCUUUCUCCAAACCCUAGCCCAAAAUUUUCAAGAAACCCCAAUAAAUCAGCAGCAGGAGGGAGAAAAUAAUCUAGGGUUUUGGUCAAAACUCCAAGAUUUUCC
Molecule: long non-coding RNA, 312 nt
Filed under: Panax ginseng (ginseng)
Lineage: Eukaryota; Viridiplantae; Streptophyta; Magnoliopsida; Apiales; Araliaceae
Description: long non-coding RNA (PGIN_LNC000960)
Source: RNAcentral